ACAGUUGGUCACACUGGUUUGAUGACGCCGGUCGGGCGUCGCAUCUCGGCGGCGGCAACCUCGGGCCGGCCUGCCGCAGCGGGCGCAGCUCGCCGUUCUUCAGUCUUUCGCUGUGGCCUAAACGUGAUCCACGUCGGUUAAUUUCACAGUAUUUUUCAACUGGCCGUUUCUCAUUUUUGUCGUCUACGGCAUCGCACAUAAUCACGUCGCUAAUCGUCCAUCGACUAUAUCACCUCUCUCUGCGAAAUCAGCCGUGUUUGUUUAGUGUUGACGUGUCGCACGGUUUGUCCGUCGGCAGAAUGGGAACCACUUGAAAUUGGACCUUGUGAACGUUCAGGUGUAACAACGUUCCCUUUCACCGCCGGCUCGACGACACGUAGACAACAACAACUGUCGCCGCUGCCGUCUACCCUCCGCGCAACGAUGACUCGGAAUGCCGACUGACGACGUACAAUAAUUGAACGUGUACUGCGUAGCAGCAUCGUAUGGCGUCGGUGCACUGCGGACCGGUCGGCCAUUUAUCUCGAAACUUCACUUCUUCCUCGUCGGUACCUGCUGCUCUGCUGUGUGCGCACUGUGUUCGUCUCGUCGCCUCCAAAAGCCGACGGUGAUAGUUUUCCGUUCUGUACGCCAUCGGCCGUCAUUAGAUGGACAGGUAUCAUUCCGACAGCGAGAACUUGUGUAUACGGUACCGGUAAUUGCAGAAUUUCAGUCUUGCCAUGAAAGCCUGACCUACGAACACUGACCACAUCCAGAUCAACGUCAAUUGUUGUUCGUCGUGCAGAGUAUCCGGAACUGUUACAUUGUUACUGGUUUGCAUGUUACUGUUAAAAAUAGUUUUAUC
Acyrthosiphon pisum (pea aphid) is the source of this 844-nucleotide long non-coding RNA. RefSeq lists it as uncharacterized. The record is from RefSeq and is a predicted model, not a curated record. The transcript is spliced from 3 exons. NCBI's taxonomy places the organism in Eukaryota, Metazoa, Arthropoda, Insecta, Hemiptera, Aphididae.